ACGGAGGAUGCGAGCGUUAUCCGGAUUUAUUGGGUUUAAAGGGAGCGCAGACGGGAUGUUAAGUCAGCUGUGAAAGUUUGCGGCUCAACCGUAAAAUUGCAGUUGAUACUGGCGUUCUUGAGUGCAGUUGAGGUGUGCGGAAUUCGUGGUGUAGCGGUGAAAUGCUUAGAUAUCACGAAGAACUCCGAUUGCGAAGGCAGCUCACUAAACUGUAACUGACGUUCAUGCUCGAAAGUGUGGGUAUCAAACAG
This 251-nucleotide ribosomal RNA is filed under the name uncultured bacterium. Its description in RNAcentral is "partial 16S ribosomal RNA". It matches the Rfam family "Bacterial small subunit ribosomal RNA", at positions 525 to 775 of the family's 1533-position model. The record is from RNAcentral.